AAAUGUAGUCUAGCAGUGUGCCCAUGAGAAGAAGCACUGGCAAUCCCUGCGACAAUACAGCUUUAAUAGGUUAUGGAACGGCUUUGUUCCCUGCUAUACAGAGAUGGACACUCAGGACACAAAGAUGUCCCUCCACAAAGGAUGUACUGCCUCCUCUGAAAUUCUGUGAGAAUUGGGAAGAAUAUGCUGACCAUGGGGUGUGUGUGUGCUGACUUUCACGAAGCAGUGGCUGCCUGUCCCCCACCAGCAGGGCAAGAUUUUCCCCCAGUGUGCCCAUCCCUGCCAGCUCUCCCGCUGCUCAGCUGUUCACGCUCCAGUCUCAUACAGCCUAGCAUGGCCUAGUAUAAAGUGACAUGUCAAUGUUAGUCAACUGCGCUUUCCUCUGAUGCUAAUGAUUUUGAACCUCCCGUCAAUGAACUUAUUAGCUUUUUGAGAUUCUGUUUAAGUAAAUUUCCUAUCUGUA
This is a long non-coding RNA of Carlito syrichta (Philippine tarsier), 463 nucleotides long. RefSeq lists it as uncharacterized. The transcript has 2 exons. Lineage: Eukaryota; Metazoa; Chordata; Mammalia; Primates; Tarsiidae. The record is from RefSeq and is a predicted model, not a curated record.